AACUGACUUCAGCAAAAAAAAUUUGGCGCUACUUCAGGUCAGUUCAAUUCAGGCAAACCGCUUAAGCAAUAGUUCUGUUUCUCGAAUUUCACCCAGUUUUUUAGCUAUUUUGUUCAAUUCAGAAAUCCAGGAUAUUGCUAUGUCUGAUACCGUAACCGGUCAAGUUAAAUUUUUCAACGAAUCCAAAGGCUUUGGCUUCAUUUCCCGUGAAAACGGUCCUGACGUGUUCGUACACUUCAGCGCCAUUCAGGGCAACGGCUUCAAAACCUUGGCUGAAGGCCAGAAAGUGUCUUUCACUGUGACUCAAGGUCAGAAAGGCCCACAAGCUGAAAACGUAACAGCGCUGUAAUACUCGCGUCUACGUGAAGAAGCCGCCCUAGGGCGGCUUUUUUUA
This is a regulatory RNA element of Limnobacter sp. MED105, 394 nucleotides long. It matches the Rfam family "cspA thermoregulator". The record is from Rfam. Lineage: Bacteria; Pseudomonadati; Pseudomonadota; Betaproteobacteria; Burkholderiales; Burkholderiaceae.